Molecule: small nuclear RNA, 104 nt
Organism: Callithrix jacchus (white-tufted-ear marmoset)
Lineage: Eukaryota; Metazoa; Chordata; Mammalia; Primates; Cebidae
Source: Ensembl
GUGUUUCCUUCUUCGGCAGCACAUAUACUAAAAUUGGAAAGAGACAGAGAUUAGCAUGGCCCCUGCGGAAGGUGACAGGCAGUCAUGAAGCGUUCUGUAUUUUU